RNAcentral lists this ribosomal RNA (492 nucleotides) under uncultured bacterium. Its description in RNAcentral is "partial 16S ribosomal RNA". It matches the Rfam family "Bacterial small subunit ribosomal RNA", at positions 29 to 507 of the family's 1533-position model. The record is from RNAcentral.
AGUGAACGCUGGCGGUAGGCCUAACACAUGCAAGUCGAACGGCAGCACAGUAAGAGCUUGCUCUUACGGGUGGCGAGUGGCGGACGGGUGAGGAAUACAUCGGAAUCUACUUUUUCGUGGGGGAUAACGUAGGGAAACUUACGCUAAUACCGCAUACGACCUACGGGUGAAAGCAGGGGAUCUUCGGACCUUGCGCGAUUGAAUGAGCCGAUGUCGGAUUAGCUAGUUGGCGGGGUAAAGGCCCACCAAGGCGACGAUCCGUAGCUGGUCUGAGAGGAUGAUCAGCCAGACUGGAACUGAGACACGGUCCAGACUCCUACGGGAGGCAGCAGUGGGGAAUAUUGGACAAUGGGCGCAAGCCUGAUCCAGCAAUACCGCGUGGGUGAAGAAGGCCUUCGGGUUGUAAAGCCCUUUUGUUGGGAAAGAAAAGCAGCAGGUUAAUACCCCGCUGUUCUGACGGUACCCAAAGAAUAAGCACCGGCUAACUUCGUG